UCUCUCUCACGUUCUCUUUCUCUCUCUCCCUCCUCUCUCUCACGUUCUCUCUCUCUUUUCCUCCCUCUUGUCUUUCCUUGUCUCUUCCAGUGCUACGUCCACCUUUUGGAUUGCCAACCCCAAUAACAACCUCAUCAACUGUGCAGCAGCAGGCUCAGAGGAGACCGGUUUCUGGUUCCUCUUCCACCAUGUGCCUACGGGAGCCUCCGAGGGCAUGUACUCUCCUGGCCGCUCCGAACACACACCUAUGGGCCAGUUCACCAACAAUAGGGCCCACUCCAACUAGAGGGCUGGGAUGAUCCUAGACAACGGUGUAAAGACGACACAGGCCAACGACAAGGACAAGAGACCCUUCCUUUCUCUAGUGGGAGCAAG
This is a long non-coding RNA of Oncorhynchus gorbuscha (pink salmon), 375 nucleotides long. RefSeq lists it as uncharacterized. The transcript has 3 exons. Lineage: Eukaryota; Metazoa; Chordata; Actinopteri; Salmoniformes; Salmonidae. The record is from RefSeq and is a predicted model, not a curated record.